UACGUAGGGGCCGAGCGUUGUCCGGAGUUAUUGGGCGUAAAGCGCGCGCAGGCGGCCUCGCGCGCCCGACGUGAAAGCCCCCGGCUUAACCGGGGAGGGUCGUUGGGGACGGCGGGGCUUGAGGGCGGGAGAGGGCGGUGGAAUUCCCGGUGUAGUGGUGAAAUGCGUAGAGAUCGGGAGGAACACCUGUGGCGAAAGCGGCUUCCUGGUCCAGCACCGACGUUCAGGCACGAAAGCGUGGGGAGCAAACAGG
RNAcentral lists this ribosomal RNA (253 nucleotides) under uncultured bacterium. RNAcentral's name for it is "partial 16S ribosomal RNA". It matches the Rfam family "Bacterial small subunit ribosomal RNA", at positions 524 to 776 of the family's 1533-position model. The record is from RNAcentral.